This 240-nucleotide unclassified non-coding RNA is filed under the name Hevea brasiliensis (rubber tree). The record is from RNAcentral. Lineage: Eukaryota; Viridiplantae; Streptophyta; Magnoliopsida; Malpighiales; Euphorbiaceae.
GGCAUAUGGAUUAUAAAUGUAGUUUUUGAGUAUAAAUUGAUUCCCGCUCCACUGUUGUGAGCGGAAUUCUAGCGCAAAUUUCUUUUUUGGAAUUUGAGGCUCGUAUUCAGUCAUUUUGGAGUGAAGCUGUGUUUUGAAUGCUAAUCUUUAGGCGCUAGGCGAUUAGCUUAGCGGUGUAAACGAAGCGGGUCGAACUCAGGCUGCUUUUUUACUGCUGUUUUUUUUUUUUUUAAAACAUAA